This 469-nucleotide ribosomal RNA is filed under the name uncultured bacterium. RNAcentral describes it as "bacterial SSU rRNA". It matches the Rfam family "Bacterial small subunit ribosomal RNA", at positions 772 to 1235 of the family's 1533-position model. The record is from RNAcentral.
ACUCAAUAGAUACCCAGGUAGUCCAUGCCGUAAACGUUGGGCACUAGGUGUGGGGGACAUUCCACGUUUUCCGCGCCGUAGCUAAACGCAUUAAGUGCCCCGCCUGGGGAGUACGGCCGCAAGGCUAAAACUCAAAGGAAUUGACGGGGGCCCGCACAAGCGGCGGAGCAUGCGGAUUAAAUUCGAUGCAACGCGAAGAACCUUACCAAGGCUUGACAUGGACCGGAUCGCCGCAGAAAUGUGGUUUCUCCUUUUGGGGCCGGUUCACAGGUGGUGCAUGGUUGUCGUCAGCUCGUGUCGUGAGAUGUUGGGUUAAGUCCCGCAACGAGCGCAACCCUCGUUCCAUGUUGCCAGCGCGUAAUGGCGGGGACUCAUGGGAGACUGCCGGGGUCAACUCGGAGGAAGGUGGGGACGACGUCAAAUCAUCAUGCCCCGUUAUGUCUUGGGCUUCACGCAUGCUACAAUGGCC